UCUGUGGGGGCAAGGGCUUAGUUAGUACUAGGAUGCGACGAUAAGCCAGAAGGGCGCAAGGCCAAAGCCUGGGGGACCAAAGACGGCAGCUAGGGGGCAAUUCAGGAAUCCCACCGCUUUCUAGGCACAGUGGGAAGAGCGCCUCCUUUGAUCAGAAGAUACCUGUGCUGCCCUGGGGGAUGGAUCUCCAUGAACACCUCAGCCCCUGCCCGGCACUGGGAACCCCGCCUGUGCCCCUUACUCACCCAGGCUCUGGAUCUGCACAGGCUGGAGGUCCUCGUGGCCCGUCAGCAGGAAUUCCCGCAGGGCACUUGAGACUGAGGGGAAACACGCAUGAUAAUUAAGCUCCAACAGCAAGCAGAGACCAGGACUGUCACGGGCCGUGUGCUGGUCCUCCCCACGGUCCACCCUCACUCCAGGACAAAGGAACAGACACCUCUGUCUGAUGUGGUCACCAGCUCCAUCGGACAGCACAGCCAGCACCAGGAGCCCAGCCUUGCGCUGGUACGGUCUCUCACUCCGCAAGGCCUCUUCCAGCAUAGGCAUCUAGGGGAACGGAUGGUACGCCCCUGAAACCCUGGUCCAAGUCUGCCCAUUCCCACAGCAACUGGCCCUCCACACCUGCUAGGGCCCAAAUAUCCUCAGUGGUGGGAAACUAGGCAUACCAGGAGACAGGGGCACCAGAAGGACAGAGAACACUUACCAGCAAGGGACAGAGCUUCUCGGGGGGCAAAUGUAGUGCCAGCAUGUCUACGACCUGAAAAAAUGACAGGAAGACUUUGCUGGAACCCAUCUCUGCCCCAUAGCGACCUAAUGCCCUGCCCCUACCCCUGUCGUACAUCCCACCUGUACAGCAAAGUGCUUGGGGGUCUCUCCCACCAGCCCAAUCUCCAGCUCUUCCUCUUCCGAAUCCUGGUCCUCAGGAUCCAGCUGGCCCAGGGCAGGCUCGGCAGCCAUAAUGGGGAAAAGGGUAUGUAGUAAGGGUGGCAAGAGACGAUUCUUCAGUAAGGCCUUGAGAGGGAAGGUGGAACCGUGUCCCUGAGAAUCUGCUCCUGAGAUGGACUCAUAUUAAAAAUUCCAGCCUUGGGAGCCUCUGUUGGUUAA
Molecule: long non-coding RNA, 1104 nt
Organism: Ailuropoda melanoleuca (giant panda)
Lineage: Eukaryota; Metazoa; Chordata; Mammalia; Carnivora; Ursidae
Exons: 2
Source: RefSeq, a predicted model, not a curated record